CAAGACGGUUCCAUUUUACCUAUCCCCGUCGAUUUUUGUGCACCGUAUGCCGUUCUCCAGUGUCUCCGGCGAUGCUCCGGCCGAGCACACGAGCAGCAUGCAUGGCGCCACCGUGAAUGGUCGUCGGCAUCCUAUGCUGGGGCAAGGAGAUGAUGUUGCAAUCCUUAGAUCCAAAACUGAUGGUGUAGAUUAUUCCAUCAAUAACAUACCCUUUACGUAGACCCUGUCCACCGUACACCGUAGACUACAAGCUGCUUCCUCUCGGAACUUAAUCUACCGCACGCUAAAGUGGGGCCCAUCCUCAGCUCCAUCCCCUCCCGCAUCGGCCUGCUCUGCGCAACGCUGUGCGGGGCGGAGUCGAGAUCCAGGUCGUGCAGGCGGAGGCACGCAUCGCCGCCGCUGGCUUGGAAGGGGAAGGAGGGGAGGAGGCCGCUGACGGUGGCGCGGUCGGCGGGGAGGUUACUGGUGGACGCUGAGUUCCUUAGUGAGCUCAGGGAGAAGUAUGCCUUGCCACCGCCGCAGCGUGCCGUGGUGGCCAAUCUCGAGCUGGGCAUCGAGCGCCUCACCGCCGACCGCGCCGCCCCGCGCGACGUCAAGAUCCGCUCCUUCCGCUACUCCAUCCACCUCCUCGACGUCGUGGCCUCGCUCCACUCGCCGCAACCCUAUGGCGCCCCAAGAUGUUCUUCUCCUCGGACUCGGAGGCCGACGCCGAGCGCACCUCGCCCUCCGCCGCCGGCGCGGGCGCCGACCCCGGGCAGCGCCGCCCCAGGUACAAGCGCCGCAAGGUCGCCAUCCUCCCUAGGGCGGCGCCUCCUUCGCUCGAUCUCCGCCUCCUCUCUCACUCCAUCCCCCACCGGUGACGCCCCAUCCCCCGCCGGAACUCCAUCGCCAACCGUCCCGCCGAUGGUGCAUGGGCUGUAGGAAUGGGGAUCCGUGCGAACCAUCUUCUCUGGCAACAAACCGGCGACGACUGCAUCUGUUCCGGCCGCGGCAUCUGGACGUCUCUGCCUGCAAGUUUAGCAACACGCUGCCCGUGCAAGCCUUUAGGUUGUAAUUGUGGAGCUGUUGCAGUUCUGGAUAGCAAUGUUGGAUGGAUCAUCACGUGGAACAGAACAGGCUAGGCUGCUGCUGUCAAUUUAGUAUACUACCUUUUAUGUUUCCUUCAAAGGCUUGUAGAUUUUUUUUCUUUUAUUAGGAACAGUUUUUUUUUCUUUCAGAAACCUAGCCUCAAGCUCUCAGGUUGAGCGGUUAUGUCUUUGCCUGAAAAGUAAAAGCAUAGAUAUAUUAUUGUACACAACCUACUUGGAACCUGUUACCUGUCGGGCAAUGAGAAAACUACAGUGUUCAUAUCGAUUGCAUCAUUUUAUAGAAAACUAUGGAUUGUAACAUAACUACAGAAGUAUGAAAGCUUCAGGCCCUAUUGAAAUUUUUUAGUUCAUCUCAAAUGUGAGCAUGCAAAUAUGCAAUCCUCAGCGUGGUGUUCUGCAUUACUUGAUGGAGUUCUUCUUUGAUUAUGUGUUAGCAACUAUCGUCUGAAACAAGCUGCUAUGUAUUGUAACCUAAAUGCAUCUUAAAAGGCCAGCAAUAAUGUCCUUUGUCUUGUGAUCUAUAAAUACCUCUUUGUGCAAUUGGGCCUUAUAUUUGAAAAUGAUUUUACACAUGGCUUUUUUUCAUAGAUAUGUGUACAUACAAAUUCUUGAGAUAAUUAAACCUAACUUGUCUGCCUUGUAUUCUUGACAUGUCCUCUGCUGCUGAGCCUGUGAAACCGUUUGACAAACCUGCAGCUAGAGCUCUUGAGGAUAAGCCUGCUGGCGAAGUUCCAUCUGCAUAGAAGAGUCAAGUUCCUCUAAUAGCCUGGCUGGAGAUUUCGUGCGUAGUAAGUUACAGGCGGAGACGAAAGAGGGGCCAGACAAAGUGUAGAACUGGAAUAGUAUAUGGCAUUCUAGGAAGGUAACCUCUUGAAACCAGAGCAUGGUAAGGUACUGAGGUGUACCAAAAUUUUGAAAUCGCUAUGCUUUUGCAAUGGUUUAUGUUGCACAAUAGGGGCAAUCGGCAAUAGAUAUACUGAUAUACAUAGAAUUUUGGUUGUAUACUGAACGACCUUACAUGACAGUGCAUUACUAUGUGAUUGUGUUCAUUUGUAUCUAGCCAACCAUGCUUAACAUAUGGACCACGUCCAGAGAGAGGUCAGUUCUGCAUGUCUGAUACAUAACAGUCUGGCUACUUAUGCAUACAUUUUUGCUCUUAGUUUUUACCAGGUACAUUGGUUCCUGUCAUCAUCUUUGAUCUUGUCAUGUUGCUUACUGUUGCCAGAAAAUUAUAAGUUCUUUCUCGGUCUUGUAGAUAAUUAGCCGUGAUGUACUGAGACUAAUGUUUUCCAUAAACCUGGUGAAGAAUAUCCAUCAUUUUGAACUAUAUAUAAUUUGGAUUCUCUUCUUAUACUGAACCAAGUAUUUGCCAGGCCUACUGUUUGAUUCGGCAGACUGCACCAAUAGACUGAAACUUUUCUGUAGCCUUGCAAGUGCGAAAACAAUAUUUGAGUACUAACUCGCCAUUUUCCUUCUUUUAUUGGUGGUAAAUUUUAUCCCAGACUCACGGGAACUGCUUACAGGAAAGAAGUAGAAUAGCAAGCCAGUAAUAUGCUACUUUAUUUUAAGAAGAUGCGUGCUCAGAGAAAGUCAGUUCACCUAUUGUCAACUAAAGGAAGCAUUGUCAUGGAAUGGAACGGAGGGGAGUUAAGGAUUACAUGAUCCUUCAUACUUUGGGGCUCUUUUGGUUCUUGAUGGAGGGAUACUUUUGGUAACUAGCAAACUUAAACAGAACCUUUUGGUUCCACAACAUUGUUCACCACUCAAGUGGAUGUACGUGACAAAUGGUAGGUCUUGUACACAUGACAUAUGUCUUUUUUGAAAUAUAAUAAUGAACAAUUGGGACACGUUCAUGGAUGUGUAUUGGAAUGAGAUUUGGAUUUAUAUGUGCAUGACAAGUUAAUA
Setaria italica (foxtail millet) is the source of this 2993-nucleotide long non-coding RNA. RefSeq lists it as uncharacterized. Lineage: Eukaryota; Viridiplantae; Streptophyta; Magnoliopsida; Poales; Poaceae. The record is from RefSeq and is a predicted model, not a curated record. The transcript has 3 exons.